This 23-nucleotide microRNA is filed under the name Mus musculus (house mouse). RNAcentral's name for it is "mmu-miR-760-5p". Its record names the gene mmu-miR-760-5p. Lineage: Eukaryota; Metazoa; Chordata; Mammalia; Rodentia; Muridae. The record is from miRBase by way of RNAcentral.
CCCCUCAGGCCACCAGAGCCCGG